Long non-coding RNA from Triticum aestivum (bread wheat), 633 nucleotides. RefSeq lists it as uncharacterized. NCBI's taxonomy places the organism in Eukaryota, Viridiplantae, Streptophyta, Magnoliopsida, Poales, Poaceae. The record is from RefSeq and is a predicted model, not a curated record. The transcript has 3 exons.
AUUCAGGUUGUGCUUCCAGAAACACAACAAAGAACUAAACUACCAGUCAAGAGAAGGCCCAGUUGCAAGAAAAAGGCAUGUCCACAAGUGGGCAGAAGUACAUCUAAUAUGAUAUCUUCUUCUAUGAAUUAUGAUCUUGCUUCAUCUACUAUGAUUGAGAUUUUACAGGACCAAGCUAUAGCUACUCAACAAUCUCAAACAGCAGUGCCAGCUCCUCUACCAGAAAGCCAGUUCAUUGCAAACUGCAGAGAUGCCCUGCCAGCUCCAAGAAGCCACACUACUGCUACACUAGGUUUGAAGAGAAGGAAGAAAGUGAAAAAAACUAAGGAGAACAAAGCCCCAACAACUCAGAAGUGAAGAGCUACAAAGAUGUUAUGGAAAGAAGCAGUGUAGGAUGUUUUUCUUUUGCUUAGGAAACAAGGUGGUUUGUAAUGAAACCUCAUGCUAAGAUGUGGCUUUGGGUUUCACACAAACCAUGGAAAUGUAAUACUUUUGUUGCACAACUUCAAGACCUUGUAAUGUUGGGUCCAUCUAUCUAUCUUUCAGACUGCUUUGAAGUUCAGUUAGUAAAAGAAUGGCCUUGCAUAUUACUGUUUAUUUGUGUUGUCAAUGCUAGUAAAAAAAUGGUGCCAA